RNAcentral lists this ribosomal RNA (482 nucleotides) under uncultured bacterium. Its description in RNAcentral is "partial 16S ribosomal RNA". It matches the Rfam family "Bacterial small subunit ribosomal RNA", at positions 28 to 507 of the family's 1533-position model. The record is from RNAcentral.
GACGAACGCUGGCGGCGUGCCUAACACAUGCAAGUCGAACGGAACCGCUUUGAGAGCUUUCUUCGGAAUGAAUCUGGUUUAGUUUAGUGGCGGACGGGAGAGUAACGUGCUAGUAACUUGCCUUUAAGAGGGGAAUACCAUUCCGAAUAGAACGUUAAUACUGCAUGACAUAUCAGAAGCACUUGGUUUUGUUCUCAAAGAUUUUAUCGCAUGAAGAUGGACUUGGGUGCGGGUAGUUAGUUGGAGAGGUAUGGGCGCACCAAGACCGCGAUCGGUAGCCGGAGUGAGGGGAUGAGCGGCCACAUUGGGACUGAGGCACGGCCCAGACACCUACGGGAAGCAGCAGUAGGGGGUAUUACGCAAUGGGGGCAACCCUGGCGCAGCAACGCCGCGUGAAGGAUGAAGGUUGUCGAAUAGUAGACUUCUUUUAUUAAGGACGAAAAAUGACGGUACUUAAUGAAUAAGCACCGGCUAACUACGUG